This 3571-nucleotide long non-coding RNA is filed under the name Triticum aestivum (bread wheat). RNAcentral's name for it is "long non-coding RNA (TAES_LNC001510)". The record is from RNAcentral. Lineage: Eukaryota; Viridiplantae; Streptophyta; Magnoliopsida; Poales; Poaceae.
UAUCCAUCGGACAUCACCAAACGAUCUCCGGGGACAAUGAAGCGAUGGUGGCUUCUGGCUUUGCCAGUUCAAGAGCCCCCUGUUAUCGGUCUCGGGCCACCCUUGUUCCUUCACCAGUGUUGUUGGCAGGCCACCGACGAAAUUGACUGUUGUAGGAGGUGCAGCCCCAAUUCUCAGCCUUCAACACAAAAUUGGUCCAUCACAAAUGCUACCAAAAUAAGCCACAUAAUUUUUCUGACGCUAUAAUUCAGAAACUACUAAAACCAAAUUCAUGUUGUUAUUUGGACGAACAAAUAUUCUGCAUCAACUAAUGCAUGGUGCAGGGAAAAUAGGGAAUUACCUCUUGGUCCAACCAGGAGCUUCAUGAUUUACUUUGCCAGUCAAUUCCACCGACUACACUGGAGUAGCUCCCUUCCUUGCCGAGUCUAUUCCUCUGCUGCUGUCCGAGCAUAAACAACAGUGAGCCAUAAUGUACUACCACGGGAAACAACAACAAGUAAAGCAUCAUCAGUUCGUAGAUGCAAGAAAAAAGAUGCUAGCAAGCAACUCUGCUGCUCCCCAAACUGUAACCAUCAAGUCCCGCAAGAUACAUCCCCAGCUGCUUGUUUGGCUUUCCUCAAAGAAGCUCCCAUCUAUAUUCAACAAUCACCCCAGCCAACUUCUGGCGGCGACCAUUGUUUUCUAAAGAGUUUGACUGGAUAACAUCACAAUAACACAUACAUUACACUAUUAUGUGACAACAUCAUUAGCAUUAUACAAAUUGAUACGCUUGUCCCCAGCCUAACAAAAGUCAAGGAUACAUGCAACCACAACAAAUGUAAACACAUGCAUAUAUCUACAUUGUCUCUCGAGAUAAAGAAAUAAAGGGGUAAAUCACGUUACAUUUAUUUAAGUGACCUCCGUUGUAGCUCAAACAUGUGUUGAUUUGCUGCAUCAAGGUGCCAAAUAACUCACAUGGUACGCCCACUUUGUUGUCUCCAAUAAAUUCAGGACUCUUCCAAGAUGUUAAAAUAGUAGCAUAUAAAGAAAAUAAAACAUCUCCUUACAACUACAUAAUAUAUACAAAACAGAGUAUAUAGUGACUGUUUCUUGAAGCUGAGAGAAAAAUAAGCAUCUUUCAUCAGAAUCUUUGGUACAUUGUGAGGAAAAAAACAAUUGAACUUCUUUUCCAACACGGGAUAAGGCAAAGAAUGAAAAUGAAACAAAAACUUACCAUGUAAGAAUUCAUUAUUUCUGUGUCUCGUUUAGACGGGUAAUGACUUAAUAGACGAACAAAAGCCUAACAUUUAAGCAGAUAUUUUUUCAUGGUUAUAAUGAUGCUUUUCUUCUUAAGUUAAGGUUGGUCUUGUUUGUUAGAAAAAUAUAAAACUAAAAAGAGCUAGAGAACACAAAGUUACAUGCCAAACCAUAGAAGAAAACAGCUUGCCGACUCACCUCUAAUAGUCAAUGGUCUCACCUACAUCAGCAACAAUCAAUUGUGUUGUGUAAAUGAAGUUUGUAGAUAUUAGAUUAGGGUGCAUCAAUUGAAAUGCCAUGAAAAUAACAAUAAUAAAGGAAAAACUAUUGAGGAAAAUAAUUAUCGGUAGAUGAUCAUAGUCUAACAAAUAAUAAAUGUACUAAAAGCAGCUCCCAGUUGUUUUCUUUGUUAAUCUAAAUGGUAAUUAUCUAAACAUCACUAUAAAGCUAUUUCAAAGUUCUCUCACCACUUCCUUGCAUAGUCAUGUCUCCAACAUAAGAAUCAAAACUUAUAAUUAAACUAUAAGCACUUCAAUAAGUUUCUCGAGCUCCUCAAGGUAGCGAACAACCUAGUGUAUUAAGCCAAACCAUGUUAUCAUAAUAUUUUCUUAACUCUAAUCAUCAAAUGCCCAUACAUUUUCUCGCAGCAAAAAUUCUCUAGCUCGUCUAGGCAACAAUGAACCAAGGCAUGCACACCAACUAAAGUACAUCCCCUAAAAAGUGCAAUUCUAAUUGUUUUCCACAUUGAAAAUCCGGUACAUCAUGGUCAAAACAACAUGAGAGAAAAAAACUAGGGAAAUCCCUCAUUGAUUAUUUCUAUUGGCAGAACAAAAACUGCUAGUCCAAAUAAAAUAAAAUAAGCCUCUAACAUUGACAUGUUGUUCUGAAGUAUCAUCAAACCUAUUGAUAAUUAAUUGUAUAUAGAAAAGAACUAAAACCAACAAAUGCACUUGGCUAAUUGAAAAUCAAGCACACUGAAGUUGUAAUUGCAGGUAGAGGACGAAGCAAUUAAAAAGUAGUUAGCAAAUGUUGGAUAUUCCGAACUCUCAUACCUACGUGUUGAUGUCGUUUAGUAUGUGUCAUACGCCGAGUUAGCAAGUCCUGAUCUAUGUAAUCUGCAUCUGUAAGUACAAGAAAAAAUUAUCGUUAUCAAGGUUAUGGCCUGAGGCAAACAAUUGAACUAUUGAUCUAGUAGCUAUCUCAUAUGUGAGAGUUUCGUCUUGGCCAAACUGUGAUCAGCCUGUAGUAGCUUGGUGUACGGCAAAUCGUCUACUCAAGCGAUGAUCCGAUCAAAGGAAGCCAUGCACAGCUAACUGGGAUUUUUUACACACCUUAUAAUUUAUAUAUCAGACUGCUAGCCUAAAUAAAAUAAGGCUUUACCAUAUUGACAUAUUGUUCUAAACUUCACCUAACCUAUUAACUAUUGCCAACAAAGAGAUUUAGCUAAUUGAAAUGUAAGCACAUUGAGCUUGCAAUUGCAGGUAGUGCGUAAAGCAAUUAGGAAGUAGCUAGGGAAUGUUGGAUAUUCCGAACUCCCAUACCUACGUGUUGAUCUUUUUUCUGAGUCCCAAGUCAUAGUAUUUAUCAUCCACCGAGUUGGCAAUUUCUAAUGUAUGUAAUCUGCAUCUAUAAAGUUUUGCCAGCACAUCCGACAUACAUGCCUUUGCCCAAGCAUCAGGGAAAGGUGUGCGUGUUGUCAUCAUUGAAUCUGCGAACAACCAAAAAGUUAAGAUCAAUCUCCAUGCCCAACAUAAUCCGCAAAAAUCAAGUGACUAUUUCCCCUCUCGAUCUCCUCGCUCUACUCAACCAUGGUAGCCGACAGAGCCAGAACAGGGAAGCUUGUGUGGGCUGGAGGCUGUCCGCCAGGAGGGCCUGCACGGGAGCCGGCAAGCGUUUGUAGCAGGCCGUGAGCCGCAUUGGACAGGAUGGGAGAGGAAAGGGGUGUGGAGCAGUGAGCAGUGCCCCGAGGGAAUGGAGAUAGAGGUACCAGGGAGAGGCGUCGGCAUCCUUGCGCACAGAAGCGCUAGGCGGUGGCGGAGAUCCUGCGGGAGGCGCCAAGGUGGCGAGGUGAGUCUCUGGCUGGGUCACGCAGAAUCAGGGCAUCCACCGGCGGGCGGCGUGCUCCAAGGAGCUGUCGGCCGAGGCUCCGUCUUGGAUAUCGAACGACGGCGAGGGGCUACGAUGACGACUGGGGAUGGGAGAGGGUGGAGAGGGUGGAGAGGGUUGCUGGGAGCAGAGGGAUGGGGCGUGGCGGUGGAGGGAACCCUAGCGCCGGGUGGCCGGGAUGGUUCGUGUUCUCGUGGGGAUAGAGAGACGGGUGUAUGUAGAAUCGUUU